This 265-nucleotide ribosomal RNA is filed under the name uncultured archaeon. RNAcentral's name for it is "partial 16S ribosomal RNA". It matches the Rfam family "Archaeal small subunit ribosomal RNA", at positions 717 to 982 of the family's 1478-position model. The record is from RNAcentral.
AGACGUCUACAUUAGAUACCCGUGUAGUCCCAGCCGUAAACUAUGCGCGUUAGGUGUAUCGGUGACCACGAGUCACCGAGGUGCCGAAGGGAAACCGUGAAACGUGCCGCCUGGGGAGUACGUCCGCAAGGAUGAAACUUAAAGGAAUUGGCGGGGGAGCACCGCAACGGGAGGAGCGUGCGGUUUAAUUGGAUUCAACACCGUAAAACUCACCAGGGAAGACUGUUACAUGAAGGCCGAGAUGAAGACUCUGCUAGAUUUUCAG